UACGUAGGCAGCGAGCGUUGUUCGGAAUUACUGGGCGUAAAGAGUGUGUAGGCGGUUGUUUAAGUUUGGUGUGAAAUCUCCCGGCUCAACUGGGAGGGUGCGCCGAAUACUGAAUGACUAGAGUGUGGGAGAGGUGAGUGGAAUUCCUGGUGUAGCGGUGAAAUGCGUAGAUAUCAGGAGGAACACCGGUGGUGUAGACGGCUCACUGGACCAUAACUGACGCUGAGACACGAAAGCGUGGGUAGCAAACAGG
RNAcentral lists this ribosomal RNA (253 nucleotides) under uncultured bacterium. RNAcentral describes it as "partial 16S ribosomal RNA". It matches the Rfam family "Bacterial small subunit ribosomal RNA", at positions 524 to 776 of the family's 1533-position model. The record is from RNAcentral.